AAGUGACAACUACGUUAAUAUAAAAUCAUAGUUUAUUCAACAGAGCGAGAGUUUGAGAUAAAACUUUUAAUCAAUAGAGUCAACUGAAAAGAUUUAUUUUAAAACCAAGAAACCAACGAAGAAUUGAUUCCCUAAUUACGACGAAUUACAUACCGAUAUCCGCUUAAUCGAUAUUUAAUUUAGAUCCUAUUUUUAGUUUUAA
Molecule: long non-coding RNA, 202 nt
Filed under: Lathyrus oleraceus (garden pea)
Lineage: Eukaryota; Viridiplantae; Streptophyta; Magnoliopsida; Fabales; Fabaceae
Description: Pisum sativum (pea) long non-coding RNA (PSAT_LNC040183)
Source: RNAcentral